GACGAACGCUGGCGGCGUGCUUAACACAUGCAAGUCGAACGGAAAGGCCCUGCUUUUGUGGGGUGCUCGAGAGGCGAACGGGGGAGUAACACGUGAGUAACCUGCCCUUGACUUUGGGAUAACUUCAGGAAACUGGGGCUAAUACCGGAUAGGAGCUCUUGCUGCAUGGGGGGGGUUGGAAAGAUUCGGCGGUUGGGGAUGGUCUCGCGGCUUAUCAGCUGGUUUGGGGGGUAGUGGCUGACCACGGCUUUGAAGGGUAGCCGGCCUGAGAGGGGGGCCGGCCACAUUGGGACUGAGAUACGCCCCAGACUCCUACGGGAGGCAGCAGUGGAGAAUCUUGCACAAUGGGCGGAAGCCUGAUGCAGCAACGCCGCGUGCGGGAUGACGGCCUUCGGGUUGUAAACCGCUUUCGCCUGUGACGAAGCGUGAGUGACGGUAAUGGGUAAAGAAGCACCGGCUAACUACGUG
RNAcentral lists this ribosomal RNA (468 nucleotides) under uncultured bacterium. RNAcentral's name for it is "partial 16S ribosomal RNA". It matches the Rfam family "Bacterial small subunit ribosomal RNA", at positions 28 to 507 of the family's 1533-position model. The record is from RNAcentral.